GAACAUCCUCAGUGCACCGGGACACACAGGUCACCCCUCCACCCAAACAGUUACACUGAAGAGCACAUGAUGGCUGAAAUACCUGGCCGUCCUGAUAGGAGACUCCAUUAUGCUCACAGCCCAGCUCCUUCUGACCUAAAAACAAAGGGAAGCUGGCACUGUAGUCACAUUGCAGGCUGCGCUGACUGUCACAUGGAUACAGCUCACUGCAGGCCUCACCCUGCUGUCUUGCACACACCUGACAGCACUGGCACCCAUCGAGAAUGAGAGGAACACCUUCUGGGCAGGCUGACAACAAAACGUCCCACAACAAGUCCCUGAUAAAAACCACUAAACUGACCUCUCCCUCCUCUCAACUCUGAGCAUGACAAUUGACAAAGUAUCCAGAUCAAAUCUCACAGCUGUUGGACAUAAAACUGAACCUAGACAUCAGAGAUAUUUCCACUGGCAAAAUGCAUGCAUGCAAAUAAAGUGUGCGAUUCUUACCUGUGAGCCCAGGUAAAAC
Long non-coding RNA from Carassius gibelio (silver crucian carp), 505 nucleotides. RefSeq lists it as uncharacterized. Lineage: Eukaryota; Metazoa; Chordata; Actinopteri; Cypriniformes; Cyprinidae. The record is from RefSeq and is a predicted model, not a curated record. The transcript has 3 exons.